GCCUCGGUAGCGCAAGUAGGAAGCGCGUCAGUCUCAUAAUCUGAAGGUCGUGAGUUCGAGCCUCACCCGGGGCA
RNAcentral lists this transfer RNA (74 nucleotides) under Haemaphysalis longicornis (longhorned tick). It matches the Rfam family "tRNA". Rfam says of the family: Transfer RNA (tRNA) molecules are approximately 80 nucleotides in length. Their secondary structure includes four short double-helical elements and three loops (D, anti-codon, and T loops). Lineage: Eukaryota; Metazoa; Arthropoda; Arachnida; Ixodida; Ixodidae. The record is from Rfam by way of RNAcentral.